RNAcentral lists this ribosomal RNA (369 nucleotides) under Cryptocercus changbaiensis. RNAcentral describes it as "partial 16S large subunit ribosomal RNA". Lineage: Eukaryota; Metazoa; Arthropoda; Insecta; Blattodea; Cryptocercidae. The record is from RNAcentral.
CUCUUCUUGAAUAUAUUAUGAUGUAUGGCCUGCCCACUGAGUGUUGAAGGGCCGCGGUAUUUUGACCGUGCAAAGGUAGCAUAAUCAUUAGUCUUUUAAUUGUAGGCUGGAAUGAAUGGUUUGACGAGGUGUAAACUGUCUUUAAUUUAUUUGUUGAAUUUAAAUUUUAGGUUAAAAUGCCUAAAUUUUUUUUUGGGACGAGAAGACCCUAUAGAGUUUUAUAUGUUUUUAUUUUUUUUGUGUGAUAAUUUUAAAUUUAAGAAUUUAUUUUGUUGGGGUGAUGGGAAGAUUUAAUUAACUCUUUUUAUUUUUUUUAUAUUUAUUUAUAUGUAUUUGAUCCAUUUUUGUUGAUUAUAAGGCUAAAUUACC